AGGGAGCACUUCCCCUGAGCGGUCUGCUCAGCUCCCUCGCGCGCUGCCCGCAGAGUGAGGCUGGGAGCCUGAAGAUGAUGUCAUAUUCCGGCUCCCAGCCUCACUCUGCGGCGCGCUUGGGAGCUGAAAAGACCGCUCAGGGGAAGUGCUCCCU
Molecule: non-coding RNA, 154 nt
Organism: Pelobates cultripes (western spadefoot toad)
Lineage: Eukaryota; Metazoa; Chordata; Amphibia; Anura; Pelobatidae
Source: the annotation of a GenBank genome assembly